CCCACACCACCCUCACGGUUAGCAGUAAGUGUGAGGUUGUCCUUCUGGCCCCCGUAUCCCCACAUGGACUCUCUCCGCAAACUUUUGGUUUUGCAGCUGGUCGGCUUGAAGGAAUGUGAACUUAGGCUGAGUUGGCAGCACAGAGAUUUUCAAGUGUGACAUCACCUCCCAGUCGGGAAAGCUGAUGAAGUCUGAUCCCAGCCUGAAAGUUGUGAUUUCCCCUGGCUCUCUGGAAUUCUGGGUGUUCCUGGAUUUGCCGGAGAUAUUCUGUUGCUCUCAGCAGUGUGAGUCUUGGAGCUCCAUUUUCCCUUCUCACCUUACUGCCGCAUGAGAAUUCACAGGCCACUGGCAGGAUGGGAGCCUUCUAGCCAGCCUCCGGAUUGCAGGAAACAACGAAGGAGCUGAGCUCUGUGACCAGUUUCGAUACCAGCUGAAACCGAAACAUGAGCAGAUACGCAAGAGCAAAGAAUCAGAAGAUGCCAGAAGUGAGAGUACUAAAUGAAGAUACUAUCUGCUGCCUGGAUUUGUCUUGUGAGACACGAGUGUUUCCAGAACCUGGGAGAAGCACACAGCGCCCUGUUGGAGAACCUAAUGGCAAGGUGGUUAAGGCAGAGUGUGGGACAGCUGAAGGCAGAAGACUCAGGACCUCUGCACGCAGAGCAAGGAGACGUCUGUGAGAGGGAGACAAGGCUUACGAAGGGCCUGAUGGAGACUUUGAGAGGAAGAACUAAUGGUGGACCUGGACUUAGGUCUUUGGUUUUUCAGUGAUGAAGGAAGCUGAGAAGAAGACAUUUCAGACUGAGCCCCUGAAACACAGAAAUAAGAAGAAUAACUCUUAAGACGGUAUUUAGGUACCGCUCUUAAGAAGCUCCUCAGUAACCACACAAUAGGUGGUAAGAACAGCAGGAUUUCCAGUGACUCUGGGCCGCUGUCGGGCUUCUCCACCUGGGACCUGCAGACUCACCCUCAGGCAUCCGUGAGUGCUCUUGCAUGGUGAUGAAGAAUACAGGGGCUACUAAUUCUAUUUGGUGCCACUGCCUUGAUUUGUGUGAAAGUGACAGCAGUUCUACCCACCAUUUCUUUUGCACCAUCAAUACAAGUGUUAACCCAGUGAAAAAGAUAAUGUCUUAGUAUUAUGAUGAUGAUGAUGAUGAUGAAGAAGAAGAAGAAGAAGGAGGAGGAGGAGAAAGAAGAAGAGAAGAAGAAGAAAAUAUUUUUGAACGCAGAACCCCUGAAAGCUUCUCCAGGAUUACUGAGGGGUCUCAUGGACCAAAUUUAGAACCACUG
Molecule: long non-coding RNA, 1287 nt
Organism: Balaenoptera musculus (blue whale)
Lineage: Eukaryota; Metazoa; Chordata; Mammalia; Artiodactyla; Balaenopteridae
Exons: 4
Source: RefSeq, a predicted model, not a curated record